CAGCCGUAAACUAUGCGCGUUAGGUGUACUGGUGACCACGAGUCACCGGGGUGCCGAAGGGAAACCGUGAAACGUGCCGCCUGGGAAGUACGGUCGCAAGGCUGAAACUUAAAGGAAUUGGCGGGGGAGCACCGCAACGGGAGGAGCGUGCGGUUUAAUUGGAUUCAACACCGGAAAUCUCACCGGAUAGGACAGACAUAUGAUAGUCGGGCUGAAGACUCUACUUGAUGAUCUGAGAGGAGGUGCAUGGCGUCAGUGACU
RNAcentral lists this ribosomal RNA (261 nucleotides) under uncultured archaeon. Its description in RNAcentral is "partial 16S ribosomal RNA". It matches the Rfam family "Archaeal small subunit ribosomal RNA", at positions 748 to 1008 of the family's 1478-position model. The record is from RNAcentral.